GACGGAGGAGGCUAGCGUUGUUCGGAAUUACUGGGCGUAAAGCGUGCGUAGGCGGCUUUGCAAGUCAGGGGUGAAAUCCUGAGGCUUAACCUCAGAAUUGCCUUUGAAACUGCAGAGCUGGAGUAUUGGAGAGGAAUGCGGAAUAACUAAUGUAGCGGUGAAAUGCGUAGAUAUUAGUUGGAACACCGAUGGCGAAGGCAGCAUUCUGGACAAUAACUGACGCUGAGGCGCGAAAGCGUGGGGAGCAAACAGG
RNAcentral lists this ribosomal RNA (253 nucleotides) under uncultured bacterium. RNAcentral's name for it is "partial 16S ribosomal RNA". It matches the Rfam family "Bacterial small subunit ribosomal RNA", at positions 524 to 776 of the family's 1533-position model. The record is from RNAcentral.